RNAcentral lists this ribosomal RNA (496 nucleotides) under uncultured bacterium. RNAcentral describes it as "partial 16S ribosomal RNA". It matches the Rfam family "Bacterial small subunit ribosomal RNA", at positions 29 to 507 of the family's 1533-position model. The record is from RNAcentral.
AUGAACGCUGGCGGCGUGCCUAAUACAUGCCAGUAGAACGCUGAAGCUUGGUGCUUGCACCGAGCGGAUGAGUUGCGAACGGGUGAGUAACGCGUAGGUAACCUGCCUCUUAGCGGGGGAUAACUAUUGGAAACGAUAGCUAAUACCGCAUAAAAGUCGAUAUCGCAUGAUAUUGAUUUGAAAGGUGCAAAUGCAUCACUAAGAGAUGGACCUGCGUUGUAUUAGCUAGUUGGUGAGGUAACGGCUCACCAAGGCGACGAUACAUAGCCGACCUGAGAGGGUGAUCGGCCACACUGGGACUGAGACACGGCCCAGACUCCUACGGGAGGCAGCAGUAGGGAAUCUUCGGCAAUGGGGGCAACCCUGACCGAGCAACGCCGCGUGAGUGAAGAAGGUUUUCGGAUCGUAAAGCUCUGUUGUAAGAGAAGAACGAGUGUGAGAGUGGAAAGUUCACACUGUGACGGUAACUUACCAGAAAGGGACGGCUAACUACGUG